AAUGGGCGAAAGCCUGAUGCAGCAACGCCGCGUGAGCGAUGAAGGCCUUUGGGUCGUAAAGCUCUGUCCUUGGGGAAGAAAAAAAUGACGGUACCCUUGGAGGAAGCCCCGGCUAACUACGUGCCAGCAGCCGCGGUAAUACGUAGGGGGCAAGCGUUAUCCGGAAUUAUUGGGCGUAAAGAGUGCGUAGGUGGUCCUGUAAGCGCGGGGUGAAAGGCAAUAGCUCAACUAUUGUAAGCCUUGCGAACUGUGGGACUUGAGUGCAGGAGAGGAAAGCGGAAUUCCUAGUGUAGCGGUGAAAUGCGUAGAUAUUAGGAGGAACACCAGUGGCGAAGGCGGCUUUCUGGACUGUAACUGACACUGAGGCACGAAAGCGUGGGGAGCAAA
Molecule: ribosomal RNA, 387 nt
Filed under: uncultured bacterium
Lineage: Bacteria
Description: bacterial SSU rRNA
Rfam family: Bacterial small subunit ribosomal RNA
Source: RNAcentral